RNAcentral lists this unclassified non-coding RNA (249 nucleotides) under uncultured Pleosporales. Its description in RNAcentral is "sequence contains ITS2". The record is from RNAcentral. Lineage: Eukaryota; Fungi; Ascomycota; Dothideomycetes; Pleosporales.
AACGCACAUUGCGCCCCUUGGUAUUCCAUGGGGCAUGCCUGUUCGAGCGUCAUUUACACCCUCAAGCUCUGCUUGGUGUUGGGCGUCUGUCCCCGCUUCGUGCGCGGACUCGCCCCAAAGGUAUUGGCAGCGGUCUUGCCAGCUUCUCGCGCAGCACAUUGCGCUUCUCGAGGCUCCGGCGGAUCGGCGUCCAUCAAGUCCACCCCACAGUUUGACCUCGGAUCAGGUAGGGAUACCCGCUGAACUUAA